This 403-nucleotide ribosomal RNA is filed under the name bacterium. Its description in RNAcentral is "partial 16S ribosomal RNA". It matches the Rfam family "Bacterial small subunit ribosomal RNA", at positions 355 to 776 of the family's 1533-position model. The record is from RNAcentral.
UGGGGAAUAUUGCACAAUGGGGGAAACCCUGAUGCAGCGACGCCGCGUGAACGAAGAAGGUAUUCGUAUCGUAAAGUUCUGUCCUAUGGGAAGAUAAUGACAGUACCAUAGAAGAAAGCUCCGGCUAAAUACGUGCCAGCAGCCGCGGUAAUACGUAUGGAGCGAGCGUUGUCCGGAAUUAUUGGGCGUAAAGGGUACGCAGGCGGUUUGAUAAGUCGAAUGUUAAAGAUCGGGGCUCAACCCCGCAAAGCAUUGGAAACUGAUAAACUUGAGUAGUGGAGAGGAAAGUGGAAUUCCUAGUGUAGUGGUGAAAUACGUAGAUAUUAGGAGGAAUACCAGUAGCGAAGGCGACUUUCUGGACACAAACUGACGCUGAGGUACGAAAGCGUGGGGAGCAAACAGG